Long non-coding RNA from Rhipicephalus microplus (southern cattle tick), 396 nucleotides. Lineage: Eukaryota; Metazoa; Arthropoda; Arachnida; Ixodida; Ixodidae. The record is from RefSeq and is a predicted model, not a curated record.
GCCGCAGCGGUAUAGUGUUCUAGAACACUUUAGCAGCGGUCCGCGGCGAGCUUCCAACAUGUUGGAAAUUUUCGCUCUAAUCGCAGCGGCGGGAGCAAUUUUCGGUCAGAACCCGUCGAAAUAUGACCGGGUCGGUCAAGCCGUCGAAAUAGCGUCGACGUUUUUUGGCCGAGUCCCGUGGAAAUAGCAGGAACCAUGCGGGCUGAGCCGUCGAAAUUGCGUCGACGUUUUCGUGCUGGUUGUGUGUUCUGUGGUUGUGGUGGGUCAGCAUGUGUGGAGGUAAUGCCUAGCUGGAGCUGCACGAGCUACAGAACAGUUGCACGCGCUUGGCGUGUCGAAUGCUGGCAGCGGCCGCUGCUCCACUUCAGCCCUAUGAAUAAAGUCGCGAGACUGGCA